CCUACGGUGAGCAGCAGUAGGGAAUCUUUCACAAUGGGCGAAAGCCUGAUGGAGCAACGCCGCGUGCAGGAUGAAGGCCUUCGGGUUGUAAACUGCUUUUAUAAGCGAGAAAUAUGAUGGUAACUUAUGAAUAAGGAUCGGCUAACUACGUGCCAGCAGCCGCGGUCAUACGUAGGAUCCGAGCAUUAUCCGGAGUGACUGGGUGUAAAGAGUUGCGUAGGUGGCAUAGUAAGUAGCUAGUGAAAUCGGGUGGCUCAACCAUUCAGACUAUUAGCUAAACUGCUAAGCUUGAGACCGUUAGGGGUAACUGGAAUUUCUAGUGUAGGAGUGAAAUCCGUAGAUAUUAGAAGGAACACCGAUAGCGUAGGCAGGUUACUGGGACGGUUCUGACACUAAGGCACGAAAGCGUAGGGAGCAAACGGGAUUAGAUACCCUUGUAGUC
This 442-nucleotide ribosomal RNA is filed under the name uncultured bacterium. RNAcentral describes it as "partial 16S ribosomal RNA". It matches the Rfam family "Bacterial small subunit ribosomal RNA", at positions 338 to 795 of the family's 1533-position model. The record is from RNAcentral.